UGGGGAAUAGUGGACAAUGGGCGCAAGCCUGAUCCAGCCAUGCCGCGUGAGUGAUGAAGGCCCUAGGGUUGUAAAGCUCUUUCACCGGUGAAGAUAAUGACGGUAACCGGAGAAGAAGCCCCGGCUAACUUCGUGCCAGCAGCCGCGGUAAUACGAAGGGGGCUAGCGUUGUUCGGAUUUACUGGGCGUAAAGCGGACGUAGGCGGACUAUUAAGUCAGGGGUGAAAUCCCGGGGCUCAACCCCGGAACUGCCUUUGAUACUGGUAGUCUUGAGUUCGAGAGAGGUGGGUGGAAUUCCGAGUGUAGAGGUGAAAUUCGUAGAUAUUCGGAGGAACACCAGUGGCGAAGGCGGCUCACUGGCUCGAUACUGACGCUGAGGUGCGAAAGCGUGGGGAGCAAACAGG
RNAcentral lists this ribosomal RNA (404 nucleotides) under Actinomycetes bacterium. RNAcentral describes it as "Actinobacteria bacterium partial 16S ribosomal RNA". It matches the Rfam family "Bacterial small subunit ribosomal RNA", at positions 355 to 776 of the family's 1533-position model. The record is from RNAcentral. Lineage: Bacteria; Bacillati; Actinomycetota; Actinomycetes.